CGGAACGAAUAACAUAAAAAGUUAAUUAGGAACUAAAAGGAUCUUAUUAGAUAACUGGAUUAUCACAGACACAUACUGUGGCAACACUUAUUUCUUUGGAGCAAAUGCUUGCUUCUUAAGCUUUCUCUAGAGCAUUGUUGCCAAUGCAAUAGUUCUCCCUGCAGUUUGACAUGCAAGUUCCAAUCUUCUCAUUAUCUGCAAUAUUAACCAGAAAAAUAAUUUU
This 223-nucleotide long non-coding RNA is filed under the name Nicotiana benthamiana. RNAcentral describes it as "long non-coding RNA (NBEN_LNC000706)". Lineage: Eukaryota; Viridiplantae; Streptophyta; Magnoliopsida; Solanales; Solanaceae. The record is from RNAcentral.